CCUACGGGAGGCAGCAGUGGGGAAUAUUGCACAAUGGGCGAAAGCCUGAUGCAGCAACGCCGCGUGAGCGAUGAAGGCCUUCGGGUCGUAAAGCUCUGUCCUCAAGGAAGAUAAUGACGGUACUUGAGGUGGAAGCCCCGGCUAACUACGUGCCAGCAGCCGCGGUAAUAUGUUGGGGGCGAGGGUUAUCCGGAAUUACUGGGCGUAAAGGGUGCGUAGGUGGGUUCUUAUGUCAGAGGUGAAAGGCUACGGCUAAACCGUAGUAAGCAUUUGUAACUGGGAAACUUGAGUGCAGGAGAGGAGAGUGGAAGUCCUGGUGUAGCGGUGGAAUGCGUAGAUAUUAGGAGGAACACCAGUUGCGAAGGCGGCUCUCUGGACUGUAACUGACGCUGAGGCACGAAAGCGUGGGGAGCAAACAGGAUUAGAUACCCCAGUAGUC
RNAcentral lists this ribosomal RNA (439 nucleotides) under uncultured bacterium. Its description in RNAcentral is "partial 16S ribosomal RNA". It matches the Rfam family "Bacterial small subunit ribosomal RNA", at positions 338 to 795 of the family's 1533-position model. The record is from RNAcentral.